GGCUGGUCUGAAGGUAAUGAGUUAUCAUUUGAUUGUUCACGUCAGUUACAAAUUGAACUUCUUGGUCUAGUCUUUCCCCCCUUCUCAUUACGGCACUUAACUAGUCUUUA
This 110-nucleotide Y RNA is filed under the name Carlito syrichta (Philippine tarsier). RNAcentral's name for it is "Y RNA (ENSTSYG00000037235.1)". It matches the Rfam family "Y RNA". From Rfam's summary of the family: Y RNAs are components of the Ro ribonucleoprotein particle (Ro RNP), in association with Ro60 and La proteins. The Y RNAs and Ro60 and La proteins are well conserved, but the function of the Ro RNP is not known. The record is from Rfam by way of RNAcentral. Lineage: Eukaryota; Metazoa; Chordata; Mammalia; Primates; Tarsiidae.